UCGCCAGUCGGUCGCGCGUUACCGAGCCAAGUGGAUGAGUUCGCGAACGCGCUCCCGCUAAAAGCU
Apis mellifera (honey bee) is the source of this 66-nucleotide non-coding RNA. The record is from RefSeq and is marked provisional. Lineage: Eukaryota; Metazoa; Arthropoda; Insecta; Hymenoptera; Apidae.